CAAAUCUGAAGUACCUUCUUCUCAUUCUUUGUUACCCAUUCCGGUGGUGUUAGUUUUACUCCAAAAAUCUCGUAAAUCGCCUCCAUUAGAUUCCACCACCCUUCUGUUUUCUCACCCUCGGGGAUAAAGAUCCUCGUGCAUCUGUCGUUCUUUCCAUUCAUGACCCGCGAUAGAACCACAAACUUGCCUUUUUUAUUGUUAUUCACUGCCAUCCAUAACAUGUAUCCCAAAUUGC
RNAcentral lists this long non-coding RNA (235 nucleotides) under Carica papaya (papaya). RNAcentral's name for it is "long non-coding RNA (CPAP_LNC015073)". Lineage: Eukaryota; Viridiplantae; Streptophyta; Magnoliopsida; Brassicales; Caricaceae. The record is from RNAcentral.